This 130-nucleotide microRNA precursor is filed under the name Prunus persica (peach). RNAcentral's name for it is "miR6291a stem-loop (ppe-MIR6291a)". The record is from miRBase by way of RNAcentral. Lineage: Eukaryota; Viridiplantae; Streptophyta; Magnoliopsida; Rosales; Rosaceae.
AAAUGCUAGACUUACCACAUUUUUAUACCAUAUUGUGUAUCACCUCUCUAAUAGAGGUGGGCUCCAUCCUUAUUAAAGAGGUGGUAGGUAGUACACAAUGUGAUAUAAAAAUGUGGUAAGCCUAGCACUA